This 73-nucleotide transfer RNA is filed under the name Dehalococcoidia bacterium. Its description in RNAcentral is "tRNA-Lys". It matches the Rfam family "tRNA". From Rfam's summary of the family: Transfer RNA (tRNA) molecules are approximately 80 nucleotides in length. Their secondary structure includes four short double-helical elements and three loops (D, anti-codon, and T loops). Further hydrogen bonds mediate the characteristic L-shaped molecular structure. tRNAs have two regions of fundamental functional importance: the anti-codon, which is responsible for specific mRNA codon recognition, and the 3' end, to which the tRNAs corresponding amino acid is attached (by aminoacyl-tRNA synthetases). tRNAs cope with the degeneracy of the genetic code in two manners: having more than one tRNA (with a specific anti-codon) for a particular amino acid; and 'wobble' base-pairing, i.e. permitting non-standard base-pairing at the 3rd anti-codon position. Lineage: Bacteria; Bacillati; Chloroflexota; Dehalococcoidia. The record is from RNAcentral.
GGCCCGCUAGCUCAAUUGGUAGAGCAUCUGACUCUUAAUCAGAGGGUUGCGGGUUCGAGUCCCGCGCGGGUCA